This 483-nucleotide ribosomal RNA is filed under the name uncultured bacterium. RNAcentral describes it as "partial 16S ribosomal RNA". It matches the Rfam family "Bacterial small subunit ribosomal RNA", at positions 28 to 523 of the family's 1533-position model. The record is from RNAcentral.
GACGAACGCUGGCGGCGUGCUUAACACAUGCAAGUCGAACGAUGAAGCUGGAGCUUGCUCCGGUGGAUUAGUGGCGAACGGGUGAGUAGCACGUGAGCAAUCUGCCCUUGACUCUGGGAUAACUGCGGGGAACUGUAGCUAAUACCGGAUAUGAGAUCUGAAGGCAUCUUCGGGUUUGGAAAGAAUUUCGGUCAAGGAUGAGCUCGCGGCCUAUCAGCUAGUUGGUGAGGUAAUGGCUCACCAAGGCGACGACGGGUAGCCGGCCUGAGAGGGUGACCGGCCACACUGGAACUGAGACACGGUCCAGACUCCUACGGGAGGCAGCAGUGGGGAAUAUUGCACAAUGGGCGAAAGCCUGAUGCAGCAACGCCGCGUGAGGGAUGAAGGCCUUCGGGUUGUAAACCUCUUUUAGCAGGGAAGAAGCGAAAGUGACGGUACCUGCAGAAAAAGCACCGGCUAACUACGUGCCAGCCGCCGCCGUAA